This 1096-nucleotide long non-coding RNA is filed under the name Mytilus galloprovincialis (Mediterranean mussel). Lineage: Eukaryota; Metazoa; Mollusca; Bivalvia; Mytilida; Mytilidae. The record is from RNAcentral.
CAUUGGAAAUUUGCCAAUAUAAAAUGUUGCUGAUGAAGUUUUUUUUUAUUGUUUUAUACAAUAAACAAUGUAUAUUCACUUUUACUACCAACCAAUCUUUACCAUUCAGUGAUAACAAGCACUUUAUUUUACAUUUUAAUAUUUUAUGAUGUAUUUAAAAAAGUAGUUAUUGUUGCAAACUCCAUUAGAAAUAUGAAUUGAUAUCAGUUUUGGAAAAAGGGAAACAGGGAUGUGAAAAAAGGGGGGGGGGGGUAAAUUUUUCUCAUUUCAGAUUUCAUAAAUAAAAAGAAAAUUUCUUCAAACAUUUUUUUGAGAGGAUUAAUAUUCAACAGCAUAGUGAAUUGCUCAAAGGCAAAAAAAAAAAAAAGUUCAUUAGACCACAUUCAUUCUGUGUCAGAAACCUAUGCUGUGUCAACUAUUUAAUUUUAGAUUUAAACAGUUUGAAGAAGAAAUCUUUAAUUGAUUUGUAAAAUCUUGACAUUUGUUUUGUGUGAAAAAAACCCAUGUAAUGUCAAAAAUUUGAUCACAAUCCAAAUUCAGAGCUGUAUCACGCUUGAAUGUUUUGUCCAUACUUGCCCCAACUGUUCAGGGUUCGACCUCUGCGGUCGUAUAAAGCUGCGCCCUGCGGAGCACCUGGUUUGAAUUUUGAGUCCUCAGUGCUCUUAAAAUUUGUGCUUGUUUGGUUUUAUAACUAUUUUGGUAUGAGCGUCACUGAUGAGCCUUAUGUAGACGAAACGCGCGUCUGACGUACUAAAUACGAAUCCUGGUACCAUUAAUAACUGUAUCUCUGGCGAUAAACAUGGCAAUAAAUAAUACAGAAACUUUUCAAUUGACAGCAACUGCAUUCUUCCUAUCAUCUCUGUUUUUGUUGCUCAACCAAUUUGUAAAUAUAACGGAACUUUAAGCAACUGUCGUACAAAUUGAAAGAUUACAUAGGUAUACAACCAGUUUUUACCCACCAUAAUCCGUCUUAGAUUUACUUGAUCACUUGCCUUUGCGAAGCACACAGAAAUGAAAAAGGAAAAUAAAUACUUUUUUACAAAGCCAUUUUCGAAUAAAUUUAAUUUAUGUAUUACAUGUUUAAAUACUAACGGCG